UGCAGCUUUGAAGGCUCUCAAACUGAAAUUAAUAACAAAAGAUAAAUGGCUCACAUUUAUGCUUACAAGAUCAGGGUUAAUAAUCUGCAGGGACAGUAUGCUUAAAUGCAACCUGAAAUAAGUGAUUAAAUAGCUGCGCUGGAAAAUCUGGAGUACUGAGUAAUUCUCUAAUUCUGAAGCAUUUCUAUUCCAAUAGAUCACUGUUUGAACCACAGAAGGGAAAAUACUCAAAGAAUGGGAAAAGAAUGACAGGACAUUUUGAGAGAAAAGCACACUUCGCAGCCUAACUUGAGGUAACUCUUCCAGAAGCUGUUUCUUCCUCAAAAGGUUACCUAAACAGUAUCAAAUAAGCUGCUAUUUAACUGCAGAGUGACAGGAUUGUUUAUUUAUUUGCUUCUCUCAAAAGCUUUGUAUGGCCUUAACAUAUUCUCCUUUAGAAACUUCUGAGAACUCCCGAUCCUAGUUUUCACUCAUCAGUAUCUUUUUUUUACUGAUUCUUAAUUUGUGUAACUCUGGCCUUGACAGGGGCAUUCAGUACACCAUGUUGUUGCAUUUUCCCUUUUGAAAGAUUUCAGCCAGUCUUUUGACUCUUCUUUCCAGCCAUGGUUGAUGUCUCUUUUCAUUGCCUGAGAAGUCUACAAUAGCACUGAACUGGGUCCAGAUAAACUCUUGAAGACUGGAAAAUUCAUUAUCCUAGGAGAAAGGGGUGCCAAACCAACACUGGUGAGUCUUGAACUUAUUUAUGAAAAAUGAGAUAGAACCAAAUAAAGGUCUUUAAAAGAAA
This is a non-coding RNA of Cyanistes caeruleus (blue tit), 784 nucleotides long. Lineage: Eukaryota; Metazoa; Chordata; Aves; Passeriformes; Paridae. The record is from RefSeq and is a predicted model, not a curated record.